Molecule: non-coding RNA, 350 nt
Organism: Corylus avellana
Lineage: Eukaryota; Viridiplantae; Streptophyta; Magnoliopsida; Fagales; Betulaceae
Source: RefSeq, a predicted model, not a curated record
UGUAUGGGAGCUGACUUUGCAAAGCUUCAAAUGACUUUCUUUAUCCAUUACUUGGUCACAAAAUACAGGUGGAAAGUAGUUGGUGGAGGAGACAUAAUUCGAAGACCUGGCUUAGUGUUCCCAAAUGGACUACCAAUUGAAAUCUCCGAAAAGGACAAGUGAUAAGAAGCUGCAACGCUGCUUUAAGAUAUCCCAGCUCUAAAGAAUAAAGAUGGGAAUGUAACCUCAAUCUGUGAGGAACAUGAAUAAAUGUGUGUGUUUUUUUAUUUCGAAUGAAUAACAUGAUUAAAAAUAUAUACUAAGCUGAUGCCAAUGCUCAAUAUAUAAUUAAGUGAUCACUUAUUUAUUUA